AGCGAACGCUGGCGGCAGGCCUAACACAUGCAAGUCGAGCGCCCGUAGCAAUACGGGAGCGGCAGACGGGAGAGUAACACGUGGGAACGUACCCUUCAGUUCGGAAUAACCCAGGGAAACUUGGACUAAUACCGAAUACGUCCGUAAGGAGAAAGAUUUAUCGCUGAAGGAUCGGCCCGCGUCUGAUUAGCUUGUUGGUGAGGUAACGGCUCACCAAGGCGACGAUCAGUAGCUGGUCNGAGAGGAUGAUCAGCCUCACUGGGACUGAGACACGGCCCAGACUCCUACGGGAGGCAGCAGUGGGGAAUAUUGGACAAUGGGCGCAAGCCUGAUCCAGCCAUGCCGCGUGGAUGAUGAAGGCCCUAGGGUUGUAAAGUCCUUUCGGCGGGGAAGAUAAUGACGGUACCCGCAGAAGAAGCCCCGGCUAACUUCGUGCCAGCAGCCGCGGUAAG
This 452-nucleotide ribosomal RNA is filed under the name uncultured bacterium. Its description in RNAcentral is "bacterial SSU rRNA". It matches the Rfam family "Bacterial small subunit ribosomal RNA", at positions 29 to 524 of the family's 1533-position model. The record is from RNAcentral.